GCCCGCCUAGCUCAAUCGGCUAGAGCGUCAGACUUUUACGGACAUCCCAAAUCCGGACGAACACAUCGGACGGCGCGGGCCACGUGAUCUGAAGGCUGCGAGUUCGACCCUCGCGGUGGGCU
Molecule: non-coding RNA, 122 nt
Organism: Lyophyllum atratum
Lineage: Eukaryota; Fungi; Basidiomycota; Agaricomycetes; Agaricales; Lyophyllaceae
Source: the annotation of a GenBank genome assembly